RNAcentral lists this long non-coding RNA (369 nucleotides) under Sinocyclocheilus grahami. RNAcentral describes it as "lncRNA (ENSSGRG00000050094.1)". Lineage: Eukaryota; Metazoa; Chordata; Actinopteri; Cypriniformes; Cyprinidae. The record is from RNAcentral.
UAAGCACUUUAUUUUCACAUUAUUUUCUCAGUGAACAGCACAGCCCAGGAGCUGAUGGAGGCGGUUCUGGUGACUCUAGAUCAUUCUGCCUCUGUCAGUGGACAGUACCUGAUGAAACUCUGCGACUCAGAGGAGUAUCUCAGAAGCGAUGAAAUCCUGGGAUUAUAUGAACGCAUCCAGGUGUAUCAGAAGUUUGCUUUGGAUGUUCCAGUGAGGAUGGUGCUCAAGGACUCCGCUGACAAAACACCGACACGACAUGAGGAAGACGACCGCCAGAUGUUUCAUUUUAAUCAAGUCCUCGCUUCUGCUUGUGCAUUCAGCACUUUAAGGUCGGGUCUGCAGGAGAAACUGUGCAUCUACAGCCAGGCA